GACGAACGCUGGCGGCGUGCUUAACACAUGCAAGUCGAACGGAAAGGCCCUGCUUUUGUGGGGUGCUCGAGUGGCGAACGGGUGCGUAACACGUGAGUAACCUGCCCUUGACUUUGGGAUAACUUCAGGAAACUGGGGCUAAUACCGGAUAGGAGCUCCUGCUGCAUGGUGGGGGUUGGAUAGUUUCGGCGGUUGGGGAUGGACUCGCGGCUUAUCAGCUUGUUGGUGGGGUAGUGGCUUACCAAGGCUUUGACGGGUAGCCGGCCUGAGAGGGUGACCGGCCACAUUGGGACUGAGAGACGGCCCAGACUCCUACGGGAGGCAGCAGUGGGGAAUAUUGCACAAUGGGCGGAAGCCUGAUGCAGCAACGCCGCGUGCGGGAUGACGGCCUUCGGGUUGUAAACCGCUUUCGCCUGUGACGAAGCGUGAGUGACGGUAAUGGGUAAAGAAGCACCGGCUAACUACGUG
Molecule: ribosomal RNA, 468 nt
Filed under: uncultured bacterium
Lineage: Bacteria
Description: partial 16S ribosomal RNA
Rfam family: Bacterial small subunit ribosomal RNA
Source: RNAcentral